Molecule: non-coding RNA, 5922 nt
Organism: Coturnix japonica (Japanese quail)
Lineage: Eukaryota; Metazoa; Chordata; Aves; Galliformes; Phasianidae
Source: RefSeq, a predicted model, not a curated record
GCAUGACUGGGGGAACAACCCUUAUAAGUAAAAGAAGCUACAUGAACAACUUUCUUGAAAUAAUGUCAGUGUUAUCUGCUUGUGGCUUGAGCUGCAUGGAAGGAACAAAGAACCUCCAUCAACCUGCUGCUAUUAGCAACACUGGGUGCAGGGCUGCUACCGCACAAGCUUCAUGGUGAUGUGAUGAAGAUCCAAGACGCUGAACACACACAUGCGUAUACAAAAAUUAUGUUACUCUUCAAACUUCUUGUACUCUGCCAUUCUGAUGAGGAUUACCAUCCAGCCCAGUUCCUCAGCAUCCUUGUGACAGCAGUAGAUGUUUGGGGAAAUACACAAUAACAGGACACAUCUGGAGAGAUCCUUUCCCAGAUACCAAGAGCAUAGUGAUUAUCCUCACUGCUGAAAUGCACACCCCACUGUCUCACAUCCAGUCCAGAAAAGACCAAAACUGUUUGAUCUCAGCAAGUGCCAAUGAAUUUUGGUGGGUGCAGUUUGUUCUGAAUGGAAGAAUUAAAUGAUACACCUUUGCUUCAUACACACUUCUGUGUCAGACUCCAUUUUGCCUGACUGCCCCUCCGCUGCUAUCUGUUGCGUGGCAACAAAAUGUAACGAAAGAUGGGAAAGCUCAGCCUCUUCAGCCAUACCACCAACGUCUGUCUCUGACAUCACGGGCCAGCAUAAUAAAGAAGGAGGCAACAUUUUCAGAGCAGUCCUCACAAUCUUUUGAGAUUCUGGCCUCCAAGAAAAUCAAUAAGUCUUCCAGAAGAAAUAUGCAUGCUUUUCCUCAUGGAGACUUUAUUGCAGUUACAUGCAGCACUCUGAUGGACUUACACUUGAAGUGCAGAGUAACUCCUGGAAUAUACCACGGUGCUGAGGACAGACUCCUGGGCCCCCAGGAUAGACUCGUACCUAGAGCAAGCUGCAAGAAAAAAGUACAAUCAACCUCUCAAAUUACAGUGCAAUGUGGCAUGGAUCUCUCUGAUUCCUCACCAAGCCAGAAGGCAUAAUCACGUAAUAAGUUCUGGUUAAGUUAGGGCGUGGUCAUCUGCUAAAAUCUUUGUUCACAAAACAUAAACCAGUUUUUCUUCCUUAGGGAAGAGAGAAAAGGAACAAUUUUAAGAGACUUUUUCUUAUGCAGGCUAUAACGUCAGACUGUUCAGAGCACAGCAGGACAGAUAAGAGCUCAGGUGAAGUUUCCAUACAUCAACACACAAUGGGGAGACAAGCUUAGUCAUGAGUGCUCUCUCAGUGUUUCUCUUCUUUCCACGUACCCAGAUAAAAUAGAUAUUUUUUCUCAAAAUUGCUAAAGAAUGAAUCACAUUGUGGCUCACUUAACAUAGCCCUACAGAUUUGAACAUGUGCUUGGCUUCUUCCAUCUCUACACAUGGCAAUUACCUGGUAUCUGCUCACGCUAUCUUAAAUCAAGGGAAGCCUUCACAGAACACAUUGACUGCCAUCAUCUGCUUUGGGCACCCAGAUCCCCAAAUGUGGUGUUGCUGUUUUCUGUUCAGGCUUGAGAUCCCUUGAGGUUGCUACUGGGCUUCAGUCAAUAAAUAGCUAAUAAACCUCUGACUUGCCAAGCAAGGCAGUGAAGGAACUGUGAAGUAGGAUUGAUCUGUUUAUUGACAUUAAGUAAAAAUAACUAGAUGAUCUUUAACGUCCCUUCCAACCUAAGCCAUUCUAUGAUCCUGUGAGCUGAGCCUAAUUAUGGAUUUUUCCAUGCAGAAAAGGUGCAGAUCAUGGUCAGCAUGUCUAGUGGUUUUAUUUGGUCACAUUACAGUAUCCUGUCAUGCUAACAUUUCAUUGUCAAGCAGACAGUGAAAAAAACCAACAACAACAAACCCCACCGUGAGUAUUUAACAGCAAUAUCUAUGGAGAGAUAGUGGAAAACAUGAAUCAAGGGCAAUUAACCCACUGUGAGAACAAUUAGGAACUUGUUUUGGCUGUGUUAUUAGUUGUGGGAGCACUGGCUUGUCUACGCAAUCAGUGCUUUAAAAAUAUAUGAAUUAAAUCAUAAGUGAAAUCAGCAUCUGAAUUUAGUAGUAAAGUCACCACAUUGUGCCUGCAACGUUCUGACUCCUUUUCACUUUUUCCAAAGGACUCUGUAAGCUACAACAAAAAUAAUUCCAGCACUUAAGAAAGUAUGGACAGUAUCAUUUUUUCCCAGAACAUAUGAAAAAAUUUUCUUAAGAGCCCAUCUUUUCCACUCACUAUGUGCAGACUUGGGUUUUCUUUUCUGCACUGCUUUUUGAAAGGUUCACUCAGGGAAACUGCUGCUGGGUGGGAGGGAAUAACAAAGCAUAUCUGAAAAGGCAGUUUUUAAUAAUACUUGGUGGUGGUUUUUUGUUUUUGUUUUUUUUCUGAGCUACAAGCAUUUUGUGCUGUGCUGAAAGGUGCCAUCAUUUUAUCAGCCAAUGGAGUGGGAGCCACAUGUCAGAGUGUGAAGCUGCCUCCACCCUGUUCAGAUGGCAGGAUGGGGAUUUGGAAUUUAAGAGUUUAAGAGGAAUGAUGUAUCUCAGUGUGAGCUGAGAGAUGUUCAAGUGUGGAAACUGGUUUGAAUUCUGACCAUAAAACUUUUAACAUGAUUAUCACCUAAUACCAUCAUUUUUUGUUGCUACCAUGCAGCUGGGAAGCUUUCUAUCAGCACUUCAGGCAGGAAAAGAUUUAAAGAAUAAAACCAACUGCCUAUCAGAGGAUCAAAUGUAUGAACAAGAAGUACAUUUUAAUUAUAACUUACUUACAAAAAAGAAAUUUAAAUUCUAAAUCGAAUAAGGCAUAUGUCCUGCCAUGAGUGUUUGAAACUGUGCCCAGGACAGACCGGCUACAGUUUAGUCUUAGGACUGGGUCUGCAACUGGUUGUGUAAACUGUGUAAACUGUUAAUUUUAUAACUUGUUAUGAACAUGUAUGUUACAUUUUAAGUGGCCAAAUUAAUACUGAGACAGUACUUGCCCAGAAUAACAUCUGGCAAGCAUCUUGCAAAAUUGAUGCCAAAUACUAUUAUUUUAAGAGAAGAAAACAAAUCUUUGAAGUUUUAUUAUCAAGCCAUUCAGAAGAAAAUUUGGAAAGAGUGCUUUCAUGAUUCUGCAUCAGGAGGAGAAAUUGCUUUAACUAGAUAUGGUAAGUGAUCAGUUCUGCAUGCUGUGAUUAGGACAGCUUUGAUAAUUACAUGUAUAGUAACAUGGCUGAGAUCAUGAACAUCUGUUCGCUCAGAAAAAAGAAAUAGAUCACAUUUAUCUCUCCACAAACCAAAUCUAGAACUUUUUAUUGUGAUCUUUAUCAUGUUCCAUGAUAAGAAAAGGGCAGAAAUACGCUGUUUUAAUUAUCUUAAAUAAUUCAAUGGCAGACAUUGUGACUUCUUGCUCAGGCAGUUUAAGAAAUCUUGUGUUUGUUCGUUGGCACUGAUUUAGCUUGAAUCGUGCAGUAUUAUAAGGACCAAGAAAGCAGAGCACAAUAAUUCUUCAAGUAAGGCAUGACAGUUAAAAUGCAUAUUUAUUGAGCGCCUACAUAUUUUUGACUGAUAGACAUGGAGGUAAAAUAAGAUAAAGUGGAAGGAUUCGGGAGUGUUGGUUGAUGAAAGAUUCAACAUGAGCCAGCAAUGUGAGUUUGCAGCCCAGAUAGCCAACCAUAUUUUGGGGUUCAUCACAAACAGUUUGACCAGCAGGAUGAGAGAGGUGAUUCUGCCCCUCCACUCUGCUCUUGUGGGACCCCACCUGGAGUACUGCUUCCAGUUCCAGGGCCCCCAGCACAAGAGGAUGCUGAGUUGCUAGAGUGGGUCCAGAGGAGGGCCACAAAGAUUAUCAAUUCUUAUUUUCCUUGGAAGAACAAGAAGUGUGAAAACUCAACAACUGCAAACCAGUUGUUUGGACAAGAUGGACAGAAUGGGGACUGUUUUGAACACUUCAUCUCUGGCUGCCUUCUUUGUCAUCACCUAUGCUGAUGUUAAAUGACAGCUCAAUGUCUUUGAGAAAUUAAAAACAAAGUAAAGGUUUCAAUCAUUUUAGUAAUAGUAUUUUUAAUGCUGGGAACUUAGCUUUUUAGUGUGGAAAACUCUUUCUGAGGGCUGUCUGGCUUGUAAUACCAGGCAAUACACCCAGCUCAGCUACAGCUUUAGUCUUCUGGCUGGUGGGUUGAUAUUCUCCUGGACAGAUUCUGUUUUAUUAUGGUGCGCUGUUUGAGACAGACUUACUUCUCUGUAGCUGGGAUUUACUGUUUAAUCCCAGAAAAACUGCUGUCAGUGCUAACAAAGGAUAUGAUUUCUGCAGAGAAAUAUCUGCUUUAAAAAUGAAUCUGUUUAAAGACAAACAGACAUUAUUUCUGGUAGUUUGUAUUUCCUUUUAAAUGUAAGUGCUUAAUGUAGUUCUUAUCACUCUGAAUCUCUCUAAAGCAUGAAAACAGAGAUAUGGAUUUUGGCACAGUCAGAUUCCUAAAAAGGAGUUGGUAUUUAAGAAUCAUUGUGGUCUUGUCUUACAGAAAUCCUGUAUUAGCAAAGUUUACUGCUUUGACAUAUUUUCCCUGAUGCUAGCUGAGCUUUGUUAGUGCUAACAUCAUUAAAGGCUUGUGGUAUUUAGAGCUGUUUUUCCCAAGAUGAGGAUUUGGAACAUCCUCACUGGCUCAUCCACUAACACGUGUCAACAGCCUCCCACAGACGAGGUGCUCUUCAGCAGAUGUAAAGCUGCUCUGGUCAAAGCCCAGCCUCAACUUUAUCCCAUGUAACUAACUCUGAAUCUGGAACACAUGUUCCACCUGAAUCCCGAACUCAGGAUUCAUCCAAGGCUGAAACACAGGAUCCAUCAGGAGCUCAAACACAGACUGGAGGAGAGUAGCCUUGCAAGGAAGCUGCUGAACAGUCCAUGUCUGCCCAAAGAGUCUGGUCUCCCCAUGUCUCUAUCCUAUUCUUAGCGUUGUUCUCACAAGGUUCAACCUGAGACAAGUCAACUCAGAGACCUGGCAUAAAAUUACUCUUUCUGAAUUGGUUUGUUUAGGAGUGCUUUUCUGCCACCUUGGCAAGCAGCAGCGACUGUGGAUGAAUUUGAGGUGUGCCAAAGCAAGUGCAGGAAGUGUGCGGGGGAAAACACGGAACAAGUUGCUGGAUCAGCUCAAGCUGUGGCACGUACCUUUGCCCCUACAUCUGCUUUGAGGAUGACAUAAUACUAAUGAUGCUGACAAAGGAGCUUGAGCAGAUCUUGGAGUUGCAGUUGAGGGAGACAUCACAACACACCAAGCUGCCAUGCCUUCUGCCAGAAGUCACUGGUGGUAGAACACAAGUGUGGGUGCAAUGCUUUAGGUGCUGCAGGGCAGAACAAAGCCACAUAUGGUGAGGUAUGAAAAACUUACUUUUCAGUUUCUACUGAUAUUAAGAAUACUAUUCCACUUUCUCCCUCUGCGGCUUUGGCAAUUCAGCUGUUGGUACUGAAGUAGUUUGGCCUCCAGAGAGGUGAAAACAACAGUAUCUUUAAAACUCUCUGCUCUAAAGAAAUAUGCAUCUAUAAACUGCUGGCAAUAAAUACAUACACUGUGUAACAAAGUGUCCAGGCUUCACUGACACCUACCAAUUGUUCCUGUCCUUUAAAACACGUCUCCCCAAAAUCACCCUGCCUGCACGGUGCUGCUGUCCUGCUGCCUCUGAUCUCCCUCAGUGUACUCUUGAGGCAGGUGCAGGGGGUGGAGGCACACCAUGCAGAGCAGAGGUGCAGAGGGGUUUUGAAAAUAAGCUUAAAGAACUGAAUCUAAGGAAAUACAGAGAUAAUUUUAGGUGGGAAAAGACAAGUUUCUACAGCGUAGGAGUGAAGAGAACUUUACAUGGCAGAGGGAUAGCUCAUAUAUAAUUGAAAGAUGAAUGGUAUUUAAUUAAAACGUGGUGAUGUCCACAUCCCUGUGAUACAUGCACUACAAACAACCCUUGUGUGCAUCCACAGGUUCAG